CGAAGCGUGCGAUUGGAUUGCACGUCUAAGCAGUAAGGCUGAGUAUUAGGCAAAUCCGGUACUCGUUAAGGCUGAGCUGUGAUGGGGAGAAGACAUUGUGUCUUCGAGUCGUUGAUUUCACACUGCCGAGAAAAGCCUCUAGAUAGAAAAUAGGUGCCCGUACCGCAAACCGACACAGGUAGUCAAGAUGAGAAUUCUAAGGUGAGCGAGCGAACUCUCGUUAAGGAACUCGGCAAAAUGACCCCGUAACUUCGGGAGAAGGGGUGCUCUUUAGGGUUAACGCCCAGAAGAGCCGCAGUGAAUAGGCCCAAGCGACUGUUUAUCAAAAACACAGGUCUCUGCUAAACCGUAAGGUGAUGUAUAGGGGCUGACGCCUGCCCGGUGCUGGAAGGUUAAGAGGAGUGGUUAGCUUCUGCGAAGCUACGAAUCGAAGCCCCAGUAAACGGCGGCCGUAACUAUAACGGUCCUAAGGUAGCGAAAU
Molecule: ribosomal RNA, 481 nt
Filed under: Staphylococcus aureus
Lineage: Bacteria; Bacillati; Bacillota; Bacilli; Caryophanales; Staphylococcaceae
Description: partial 23S ribosomal RNA
Rfam family: Bacterial large subunit ribosomal RNA
Source: RNAcentral